RNAcentral lists this ribosomal RNA (222 nucleotides) under uncultured Glomeromycotina. Its description in RNAcentral is "partial 18S ribosomal RNA". The stretch from base 24 to 222 matches the Rfam family "Eukaryotic small subunit ribosomal RNA", at positions 669 to 868 of the family's 1831-position model. Lineage: Eukaryota; Fungi; Glomeromycota. The record is from RNAcentral.
GGAUCAAUAUUUCGGUCAUGCCGUUGGUAUGCACUGUUAUCAUUGAUUUCUCACCUUCUAAAGAACCGUAAUGCCAUUAAUUUGGUGUUACGGGGAAUUAGGACUGUUACCUUGAAAAAAUUAGAGUGUUUAAAGCAGGCUCACGCUUGAAUACAUUAGCAUGGAAUAAUGAAAUAGGACAUCCGAUUCUAUUUUUGUUGGUUUCUAGGAUCGAUGUAAUGA